UUUUUUAAAAAAAAUCAUUUCAUCAACCAAUCGAUUGGAUUCCUAGCAUCAAUCGAUUGAUCCUCUUAUUUUUUCAACUUUUUCACUAUGCCAAUCGAUUGGUCCAUGAGUGUCAAUCUAUUGGUCUUUAAAUUUUUUAAUUUUAUUUGUUCAGCCUACGCAUGAUUUAUUUCCCACUAUUCCUUCACAUGUGCUUCCUACUAUAUCUACUGAUACACUCUU
RNAcentral lists this long non-coding RNA (222 nucleotides) under Lathyrus oleraceus (garden pea). RNAcentral describes it as "Pisum sativum (pea) long non-coding RNA (PSAT_LNC009899)". Lineage: Eukaryota; Viridiplantae; Streptophyta; Magnoliopsida; Fabales; Fabaceae. The record is from RNAcentral.